ACCCUUAUCUCCCUUCCCUGACUCUCUUUUCGGACUCAGCCCACCUGCACCCAAGUGAUUAAAAGCUUUUAUUGCUCACACAAAGCCUGUUUGGUGGUCUCCUCACAUGGACACGCAUGAAAUUUGGUGCCAUGACUCGGAUCAGGGGACCUCCCUUGGGAGAUCAAUCCCCUGUCCUCCUGUUCUUUGCUCCAUGAAAAAGAUCCACCUACGACCUCAGGUCCUCAGACCCACCAGCCCAAGGAACAUUUCACCAAUUUUAAAUCGGGAGGCAGGAAUGUCAGGCCUCUGAGCCCAAGCCAAGCCAUCGCAUCCCCUGUGACUUGCACAUAUACGCCCAGAUGGCCUGAAGUAACUGAAGAACCACAAAAGAAGUGAAUAUGCCCUGCCCCACCUUAACUGAUGACAUUCCACCACAAAAAAAGUGAAAAUGGCCUGUUCUUGCCUUAACUGAUGACAUUGUCUUGUGAAAUUCCUUCUCCUGGCUCAUCCUGUCUCAAAAGCUCCCCCACUGAGCACCUUGUGACCCCCCACUCUGCCCGCCAGAGAACAACUCCCCUUCGACUGUAAUUUUCCUUUAUUUACCCAAAUCCUAUAAAACGGCCCCACCCUUAUCUCCCUUCCCGGACUCUCUUUUCAGACUCAGCCCGCCUGCACCCAGGUGAUUAAAAGCUUUUAUUGCUCACA
Molecule: long non-coding RNA, 687 nt
Organism: Homo sapiens (human)
Lineage: Eukaryota; Metazoa; Chordata; Mammalia; Primates; Hominidae
Source: Ensembl